UUGGUUAAGUUCUUGGCCUCUCCAUAGUCCU
Molecule: non-coding RNA, 31 nt
Filed under: Rattus norvegicus (Norway rat)
Lineage: Eukaryota; Metazoa; Chordata; Mammalia; Rodentia; Muridae
Source: RNAcentral